Molecule: ribosomal RNA, 501 nt
Filed under: uncultured bacterium
Lineage: Bacteria
Description: partial 16S ribosomal RNA
Rfam family: Bacterial small subunit ribosomal RNA
Source: RNAcentral
AUUGAACGCUGGCGACAUGCCUUACACAUGCAAGUCGAACGGCAGCACGGGUGCUUGCACCUGGUGGCGAGUGGCGAACGGGUGAGUAAUAUAUCGGAACGUACCUUAUUGUGGGGGAUAACGCAGCGAAAGCUGUGCUAAUACCGCAUAAUCCCGUAGGGGGAAAGCGGGGGACCGUAAGGCCUCGCGCAAUUAGAGCGGCCGAUACCUGAUUAGCUAGUUGGUGAGGUAAAGGCUCACCAAGGCGACGAUCAGUAGCUGGUCUGAGAGGACGAUCAGCCACACUGGGACUGAGACACGGCCCAGACUCCUACGGGAGGCAGCAGUGGGGAAUUUUGGACGAUGGGGGCAACCCUGAUCCAGCAAUGCCGCGUGAGUGAAGAAGGCCUUCGGGUUGUAAAGCUCUUUUGUCAGGGAAGAAACAGCAGCUCUAACACAGUAUGCGAAUGACGGUACCUGAAGAAUAAGCACCGGCUAACUACGUGCCAGCAGCCGCAGUAA